This 899-nucleotide non-coding RNA is filed under the name Cheilodipterus quinquelineatus (five-lined cardinalfish). Its description in RNAcentral is "partial 12S ribosomal RNA". It matches the Rfam family "Bacterial small subunit ribosomal RNA". The record is from RNAcentral. Lineage: Eukaryota; Metazoa; Chordata; Actinopteri; Kurtiformes; Apogonidae.
AACCCCGUGAGAAUGCCCCACAGUUCCCUGCUUGGGAACAAGGAGCUGGUAUCAGGCACUUUUACAGAAAAUAGCCCACGACACCUUGCUAAGCCACACCCUCAAGGGAUCUCAGCAGUGAUAAACAUUAAGCCAUAAGCGAAAGCUUGACUUAGUUAAGGCUUACAGGGCCGGUAAAACUCGUGCCAGCCACCGCGGUUAUACGAGAGGCCCAAGCUGACAAUCGCCGGCGUAAAGAGUGGUUAAUAAUUUACACAAUACUAAAGCCGAACAUCUCCAAAGUUGUACAACACACUCGAAGAUAUGAAGAACAACCACGAAAGUAACUUUACACUCUUUGAACCCACGAAAGCUGGGGAACAAACUGGGAUUAGAUACCCCACUAUGCCCAGCCCUAAACUUAGAUAGAACCUUACUCUUAUCUAUCCGCCCGGGUACUACGAGCACCAGCUUAAAACCCAAAGGACUUGGCGGCGCUUCACACCCACCUAGAGGAGCCUGUUCUAGAACCGAUGACCCCCGUUCAACCUCACCUUCUCUUGUUUAUCCCGCCUAUAUACCGCCGUCGUCAGCCCACCCUGUGAAGGCCCAGUAGUGCGCAAGACUGGCAUAGCCCAGAACGUCAGGCCGAGGUGUAGCGUAUGAGAAGGGAAGAAAUGGGCUACAAUUGCUUAAACAGCUAAAACGAAUUGUAACGCUGAAAACGCACACAUGAAGGAGGAUUUAGAAGUAAGGGGACAAACAGAGUGUUUCCCUGAAAUGGUUCUGAAGCGUGCACACACCGCCCGUCACUCUCCCCAAGCUAGAAUACUGCAACGAUAUAACUAAAUAAUUAAGCCUACAAAGGGGAGGCAAGUCGUAACAUGGUAAGUGUACCGGAAGGUGCACUUGGAAGAAAC